Molecule: long non-coding RNA, 4023 nt
Organism: Harpia harpyja (harpy eagle)
Lineage: Eukaryota; Metazoa; Chordata; Aves; Accipitriformes; Accipitridae
Exons: 2
Source: RefSeq, a predicted model, not a curated record
GAGGGCCGGGAGCUGGAGUCGGUCUCGAAGUAGAAGAGCAUGUUCUGCAGCAGCGCGAACCACUUGGUGUGCCAUUUUGUGUUGUCGGAGCUCCGCUUGCUCAGGUAGCCCUUCCUGGCGCCGUCCUUCUUCGCCAGCAGCCCCAGGUUCUGCCUUUAUGCUUCCUUCCCUGAGCUGAGCCAGUGAAGCUGCAGCUCUCCCUGGCCAAACGCUGCCAGCCUGGAGCCCGCUCACAUCAGAGAAAAGCAUGGCGUACGGCGUCCUGGCACCGGGGUGGCUCCUGUGCCCUGGGGACACCAUGCUGUCACUCUGGGAAGGUGCUGGGCUCCAGGAGGGAUGAGGUGCCCCACGCAUCCCGUGGCUGACCAAUGGUGGGAGCUGGAGCUUGGCCAGAAGCAGGAACGCCUGCUGAGCUGCGGGGCUGGAGCCUGCGGCACUGAGGAGGGGAACAGAGCUCAGCCCCAGCCCCACCGCCUGCCCGAGCCCUUCUCCAGCCACCUCCUGGCAGGCACUGCCCUUCCCUGGCUACACGCCUGCUUCUCCCACUGCACUGUGAACCAGAGACUUCCCUCCUGCCCACACAAGCGAUGGCUCCUGGUGCCAAGGACCCGCCUGCAGCCAAUGCCUGAGGUGGCAUCGUCGUCUUGGAACCCGCUCAGCGACACGUGCAGAAGAUGGGCUUUGUGCGCGCAUGGCUCCGAGGGCGAAGGACUUUUUCAUCAGCCAGGAGUCUGAAAAAACUUGUCAGAGGAGGGAAUUCAAGAUGCUCCAAGAGGUGCUGUGGCACGCUGGGCUGGAGGAGCUGCACUCCCACUGCAAAGUGUUCUCCCAUCUAGUGGCUAAAAUAAAAACCAUUGGUGCAGCCUGGGCAGGGUGAGGAGCACUCGCUGGGGUCAGCGGGCUGCAGCCUGGCCAGGAGCAGCCGUGCUGGGCAGGGUGAGUGCCACCGGCCCCACCACCGACAUGGAUGUCCCUUUUCAUCUCUGGAGCCCUGCUUCCCUGCCAGCACCCAGCCACCGGCACUGGAGCUGAGCAGACGGAAGAGUGACAUUUGCAGGAAGUGCUGUGGGGGGAGAGGGACGUAUAAACCAGGGUUCCUCACCAGCACGAAGAUGCUACGAGUUCAUCAGGCUAAUUUGUCACUUAGAACUAAGUUCUCCGCGGUGGGUGUCAGGAAGGGGCUGGCUGCACAUGACCCCCGGCUGCCAGCAAGUCGGCUACGCUGCAGAAAUCAUGUAUUUGUUGACAUUUUUUAAACGGAAAGCUUAAGGACUGUUAUUAUGCUGUGCAAAAUUAUUUCAGCAGCCCUUUGAACCACUAAGCUAUUCUCUGGGAAUCUCGACACCGGGGAUGACAAAGUGGUAAUUUAUGCCAGCAGCUCUCGCUCACUCUCGAGCCCGCAGAGAGGGCUGCUGGCACAGCUCCUCGCUCCUCAUCGUGCAGUGCUUGGGUGCCAGCUUCUUCACCUGAGAUACAGGGAGGGAAAAGAGUUGCCUUCCCACAUUUCAUCAAGUCAUGGCUUGCUUGGGUCCUUCCCCUCCUGGAAGGACUACGGAGCAGAGUGAGGCAUGGCAGCAUUUUACCUGUCGGGGACCCGCAUUUGCAGGGAGCAGCUCCGAGGCCACCAAACCCCAGUGGCCCCUUCAGCCCCGUAGCAGAUGAAGCAGCCAGCGAGAAUAACUGCACUGCCUGGAAAAGACACGCCAGCUUUCUGCUGGGGGAGGCUACACAGCCCAGGCGGGAGCUCCGGGAAUGACGGCUCGGCAGCAGGAAUUGCAGUGCCGUGGGCAUGCUGCUGCCAGGACAGACGGGGAGAGCAGAGGCUGGGGACAUCUCUCCUCCCAGUGCUCAGGCCCAGCCUUGGGUGCCCCCAGGCUUCCUCAGUGUCACCCUGCCACCGGGCUGUGCCGGGGGGUGUGCAGUCCCUCGGCACUGAUUGGGGCUGGCAGAGGCAAUGCUAACCAUGUUGUUGGGCUGACUGCCUCGUCUUCCAGCCCAAGAGCUCGUGGAUUUGCUCUCUCCACAAAUCAUUUUGCUGCUCUGGGAAGCUACAGUCUCUUCCGGGUAACUGUGAGCCGCCCAGUGUGGUCCCAGCCGAACCGUGGCCAGGUAACACAGUGCCCACCAUGCUCACUGGGGCCACCAUGAUGUUGGGAUGAUCCCUGCCUGCCUGGUGCUUCAAGGCCAGCAGCGCAUCUCCCAGCAGCCCUGGCCGCAAUGGGCAGCUCCUGUUACCGCAGGGACAGCCGCUCCCCUGCUGUCCCCUGGGUAUACCAGUCCAGCGGUGGAUCCGGCUGCUCUGCAGUGCCAUGGGUCUCCACUGGAUCUAUGCAUCCCGGCUGGCCUCAGCCAUCCCUGUGACACUUUGCUCCACUAGGACAAUGAUACGGCAUCUGCCCAGCCCAGCAAGACCACCAGGUACCUGGGCACAGACAAAAAUUGUCCCCAUCCCGUGGCAGGGUCGGGCAGAGGGGAGAGGUGCCAAGCAACCUGCUGCAGCACCCUGAGCCGCUGCCCCCUGGGCUCAAGAAGGAUGUGCAUCACUCAUGGCCAGGCCCCACAUUAAGCAUGUGUGAUCGCCUAAAGUGAAUCAUUAAUAUCUCCAUGGAGCGUUCCCAGGGGAGCACACAGCAGCCGCCGCCGGGGCCACAUCCCGCAUGGGAGCCGGGGCUGCCACAAGCACAGCCACUGCCAGCACCAUGUGUGCCGGGCACCCAAGUGCACCGGGGAGCUGUUAUGGGGAUGGGAGCUCUGCCGCUGCCGGCAAUUUGUGUCAAGAGCAGCACCACACUGGGCUUCCUGAGCUGCCGCAGGAAGGCUCACUUAGCGCACAUACAGCAGUGAUUUGGUAACCGAACGUUAUUUUUAGGCAUUUCUGAGACAAACUGGAGUGUUUUACAAGCCUCUCUGAAUGUAUUACAGCUAAAAUGUAUUUUAUAUAUUUGUGUGAUGCUGUACUUCACAGGCCAGGGGUCCCUGCUGUUACAUACAAUAUUUGCCACGAUAGACAGAACAACGCUGAAACCUCCCCUGAAAAUCACAGCUGCAGGCUUUUGAAGACAUUUCCUGCCCCUACAGGUACAAAGUAUUUUCAGGUACAAACAUCCCCACUCACCCUGUGUCUGACUUUAUUACUCCACGUUUGACUGGCAGCUUCCACGCUGCAGGUCACAGCAUUGCCAGCCGCUGCUGAAUGCCCAGAGCAGGAGCUGGGCUGUGCCACCAGUGCCCAGCCCCGUGCACAGCACCCCCAGCCCUGCACCAGUGCCCUAGGCAUCCCCUGGAAACCACCCCAUAUCCCUGGGGGAGCACCCCGCGUCCCCAGGAAAGCACCCCACAUCCCUAGGGGAGCACCCCCUGUCCCAGGGGAGUGCCCUGGCACGUGGCAGCCCGGGGUGGCUGGACAGAGAGCAGCCCCGGCCAUGGCUUUGGGGCUGGGAAGGAGGGACACGUGCCCCUCUGGCCCUGGGAACAAGGGGUGGGUGGUGGUGACAGCUUUCACAGGCAGCUGCCCACCCAGGGCAAGCACAGUGCAGGCUCACGCCGGGACGGGUGAAGAGCCUUGCACCACCUCGUGCUAAAGCUCUCCUGAGCUCCAGUGCAUGGCGGGGGGGCUGCAGUGCCAGCACCUCAGCCCCCACCCUGAGACAGGAGGUGACACAGAGAGAGGGCACAAAGCAGGCAAACCUCGACUCCCCCGGUUACGGCCAGGGAGGGGGAUGCCUUGCAGCAACCUCCUCAAUGGCGUCCUCGUGACCUCCUCAAUGUUGUCCCCUCUCCCUCCCACUGAUCUGGGUGCUGUUGGCAGCUCUGAGCCUCUGCCAAGCCUCCCACAGAAACAGGAUUAGAUAUUAAAGAGUUGCAUCAUUUGCAGGAGUCUACAGGCUCCUUUGCAUAUCAGAGCCAUAAGGACCUGCAGUUAGAUGGGAGCUGGAAGGAAAAUGGACAGCUCUAGCUGCGGGCUGAACCGAGCAUUGUCCCAGGGUGGAGAAUGGACAGAAUAAAUGGUAGCACUUCUAAAUA